UGUGCAGCAGGCGCGAAAACUUUACAAUGCUGGAAACAGCGAUAAGGGAACCUCGAGUGCCGAGAUACAAUCUCGGCUGUCUAGUUGCCUAAAAAGCAAUUGAUAGCAAGGGCCGGGCAAGACCGGUGCCAGCCGCCGCGGUAACACCGGCGGCUCGAGUGGUAACCGCUUUUAUUGGGUCUAAAGGGUCUGUAGCCGGCUUGGUUAGUCUCUUGGGAAAUCUGGCUGCUCAACAGUCAGGCUUUCAGGGGAUACUGCUAAAGCUCGAGACCGGGAGAGGUGAGAGGUACUUCAGGGGUAGGGGUGAAAUCUUGUAAUCCUUGAAGGACCACCAGUGGCGAAGGCGUCUCACCAGAACGGAUCUGACGGCAAGGGACGAAAGCUAGGGGCACGAACCGGAUUAGAUACCCCGGUAGG
RNAcentral lists this ribosomal RNA (417 nucleotides) under uncultured bacterium. RNAcentral's name for it is "bacterial SSU rRNA". It matches the Rfam family "Archaeal small subunit ribosomal RNA", at positions 329 to 745 of the family's 1478-position model. The record is from RNAcentral.